UUAGUUGUUUCCACCGAAAAAUUGAAAGAGAAUGCUUCAUGGUUGAACUUGAGAGGUUUGGCCAUAACCGUCCUUACAUUUGCCAAAUUUGCGGACUGGCAGUAUGGAUCGACUGGAAGCUUACAGUAUUCAACUAUUUUUAAGUUGUGAAUUUUUAAAAUGUUAUGUUAUGAUGAUAUAUCUAGUUAAAUAGUUGGUUUUGGAUGUGUAUCUGUUUUAGGUUAGGUUAAUCCUUAAGGUCAAGAAAUUGGUCUCAAACUGUUUUUAGGGUCCUGUCUGCUCAAUUUGAUCUUAGAUUGUUCUCAAAUUGUUUUUAGGGCCAUAUAUGCUCGAUUUAAGGCCUAUUUGUGUAUGUAUGCCAGGAAUUAAAUUAUUUGGCAAAUGCUAGUGUUUAGUUAAAA
Long non-coding RNA from Gossypium arboreum, 401 nucleotides. RefSeq lists it as uncharacterized. Lineage: Eukaryota; Viridiplantae; Streptophyta; Magnoliopsida; Malvales; Malvaceae. The record is from RefSeq and is a predicted model, not a curated record. The transcript is spliced from 2 exons.